This 422-nucleotide ribosomal RNA is filed under the name uncultured bacterium. RNAcentral's name for it is "bacterial SSU rRNA". It matches the Rfam family "Bacterial small subunit ribosomal RNA", at positions 358 to 772 of the family's 1533-position model. The record is from RNAcentral.
GGAAUUUUGGACAAUGGGGGCAACCCUGAUCCAGCAAUGUCGCGUGAGUGAAGCAGGCCUUCGGGUUGUAAAGCUCUUUCGUCAGGAACGAAACGCGACAAGCUAAUACCUUGUCGUAAUGACGGUACCUGAAGAAUAAGCACCGGCUAACUACGUGCCAGCAGCCGCGGUAAUACGUAGGGUGCGAUCGUUAAUCGGAAUUACUGGGCGUAAAGCGUGCGCAGGCGGUUGUGCAAGACAGAUGUGAAAUCCCCGGGCUUAACCUGGGAAUUGCAUUUGUGACUGCACGGCUAGAGUGUGUCAGAGGGAGGUAGAAUUCCACGUGUAGCAGUGAAAUGCGUAGAUAUGUGGAGGAAUACCGAUGGCGAAGGCAGCCUCCUGGGAUAACACUGACGCUCAUGCACGAAAGCGUGGGGAGCAAA